UGGCACAACUUUUUGGAAUUUUGGGUCCUCAAUGCUCUUCAACUUUGUAUUUAUUUGGCUUUUUAACUAUUUUGAUCUGAGCGUCACUGAUGAGUCUUAUGUAGACGAAACGCGCGUCUGGCGUAUAAAUUUAUAAUCCUGGUACUUUUGAUAACUAUUUACACCACUGGGUCGAUGCCACUGCUGGUGGACGUUUCGUCCCCG
Molecule: long non-coding RNA, 204 nt
Filed under: Mytilus galloprovincialis (Mediterranean mussel)
Lineage: Eukaryota; Metazoa; Mollusca; Bivalvia; Mytilida; Mytilidae
Source: RNAcentral